Molecule: small nuclear RNA, 108 nt
Organism: Pipistrellus kuhlii (Kuhl's pipistrelle)
Lineage: Eukaryota; Metazoa; Chordata; Mammalia; Chiroptera; Vespertilionidae
Source: RefSeq, a predicted model, not a curated record
GUGCUCACGUCAGCAGCACAUAUAACUAAAAUUGGAACAAAACAGAGCAGAUUAGCAUGGCUCCUGCACAGGGAUGACAUGCAACUUUAUGAAGUGUUCCAUUUUUUU